AUGAACUAGAUUUUUCCUAUCUGAUAAAAUUGGAACGAUAUAGAAAAGAUUAGCAUGGUUGUUACGCAAUGAUGACAGAAUUGGUCCGAUCCAUGUAUUAGAUUUUA
Non-coding RNA from Solanum lycopersicum (tomato), 107 nucleotides. Lineage: Eukaryota; Viridiplantae; Streptophyta; Magnoliopsida; Solanales; Solanaceae. The record is from Rfam.